Molecule: long non-coding RNA, 110 nt
Organism: Cercocebus atys (sooty mangabey)
Lineage: Eukaryota; Metazoa; Chordata; Mammalia; Primates; Cercopithecidae
Exons: 3
Source: RefSeq, a predicted model, not a curated record
AAAAAAAACUGUUAGAACAGAUGCUAUCUAGGUAGAGUACAAUGCAUACACCCGAAUAUUCAGCAACUCACUCUUCUGCAUGUGUUUGGUAGAGAAACUCCUGCAUACAG